Molecule: long non-coding RNA, 1341 nt
Filed under: Anser cygnoides (Swan goose)
Lineage: Eukaryota; Metazoa; Chordata; Aves; Anseriformes; Anatidae
Description: lncRNA (ENSACDG00005002139.1)
Source: RNAcentral
GCUCAUAGUGUCACGUUUGUGGCCAAACAAACGUCUGGCUCUCCAGCUCCCUGCAGAGCUCCUGGUCAGCAUGUGAAGGUUUCCAGGCAAAUCACUGGGAAAAGCUGAAAUCCGCAACUUGAUGGCAGACGUGGCUCUCCAUGAGGAUGGAAACUCUAAUCUCCACAGCAGAUCACAGGGCAAUAUACCUCGGAGCCCAGGAGGGCUGUGAACAGGGCAAUGGACUUGGCUUAUUGUUUAAGGCGGGAUGUGGAGCUCCUGCAGUGCUUCAUAGCUGAGACCUGCAGCCCGCUGGCACAUAGCAGCAGCCUUUGGGGACACAGAGAGAUUGGGAAGAGAGUAGUGAGAGAGACGCAGCUCUUGCAUGAGCUAAGAGAGAAGGAGAACCAAACUUCUGAUCUACUGCUCCACCUUAGGAAAUGCUGUCUAAUAUCUGUCAAACACUGCAGCCGGGGUCCCUGCCACAAAAACACAUGCGCAUCUAUCCCCGUGGAAAAAAAAAAUGAAUCUAAAGUUAGAUCUGGAAGAGAGCCCUGGAUAAGGGUGGUGGUCUCCCAGAUGUACCUGAAGUAUUCCUCCCCUUAACUGGGGGAGAAAACAAUGCUUGGGUCCUGCGGAAACUGCUGCUGCUGUGCUUCUCCAGGUCCUCUCUGCCCCCACCAGAGGCUGACAGCUCUCCGGGGUCCCUCCACAGGGGGAGGCAGCCGGUGGUGGUGGCACAGAGCUCGGUGCUCUGCUGGGCUUAGCCACCCCAAGCCUAUCUCGUGGCAUCACUGCGAAGCCUGGCACAGGUCCAGGGGUGGAACCGCCUUCAGGAGCUGACAUCUGCAGCACGGGCACGAGCCCAUCAAUAUUUUACAUGGAGGUUGCUUGCAGUGGUUAAGUCAUUGACCUGGGUGACCUGGCACCUCCCCAGCUCCCUCCACGUCCCGACGAUCCCUCUCUUCACCACGUGCUAUGGCACACGCAGUGUCCUGAGGCUGCCUUUAGUCCCAGGCCCCUAUAAUCUGGUACUCUCCCUUUCCCACAAAAAGAAGCAGGUUGCAGCUCCUGUGGAAAUGGCAAGGCUUCGCUUCUCUGGGCAGGUCUGGGAAGGAAAAAGAGAUUUUUAAUAACUGAAUAUUGAUUGCUCCCCUCUCGGAGCUGUGCGCGCUGCAGCAUUACAGCACAUGACCCCUCCUUUGUCUUUUUCAAAUGAAAUAAGCCUGCACUGGCUAGAGAAAUAGAUCAUACCUUCUCAUUAAUGAAAUAUUAAUUGUAUGUUAUGUUUUGGUGUGGCCUAAAGUGAAUAUUAAAGCGCACAUAAAUAAAACAUUGCCAACUUUAAUAUAAGAUGGGGUU